GAGUUUGAUCUUGGCUCAGGAUGAACGCUGGCGGCGUGCCUAAUACAUGCAAGUCGAGCGGUAAGGCUCCUUCGGGAGUACACGAGCGGCGGACGGCUGAGUAACACGUAGGAACGUACCCCAAAGUGAGGCAUAAGCACCAGAAAUGGUGUCUAAUACCGCAUGUGCUCUUCGGAGUAAAGCUACGGCGCUUUGGGAACGGCCUGCGCAUGAUUAGCUUGUUGGUGAGGUAAUAGCUCACCAAGGCGAUGAUCAUUAGCUGGUCUGAGAGGAUGACCAGCCAGACUGGGACUGAGAACGGCCCAGACUCCUACGGGAGGCAGCAGUAGGGAAUCGUUCCACAAUGGGCGAAAGCCUGAUGGAGCAACGCCGCGUGCAGGAUGAAUGCCUUCGGGUUGUAACUGCUUUUAUCUGUGAAGAUUAUGACGGUAG
RNAcentral lists this ribosomal RNA (432 nucleotides) under uncultured bacterium. RNAcentral's name for it is "bacterial SSU rRNA". It matches the Rfam family "Bacterial small subunit ribosomal RNA", at positions 9 to 478 of the family's 1533-position model. The record is from RNAcentral.